UCGAUUCCCUUAGUAGCGGCGAGCGAAACGGGAAGAGCCCAAACCAACAAGCUUGCUUGUUGGGGUUGUAGGACACUCUAUACGGAGUUACAAAGGACGACAUUAGACGAAUCAUCUGGAAAGAUGAAUCAAAGAAGGUAAUAAUCCUGUAGUCGAAAAUGUUGUCUCUCUUGAGUGGAUCCUGAGUACGACGGAGCACGUGAAAUUCCGUCGGAAUCUGGGAGGACCAUCUCCUAAGGCUAAAUACUCUCUAGUGACCGAUAGUGAACCAGUACCGUGAGGGAAAGGUGAAAAGCACCCCGGAAGGGGAGUGAAAUAGAACCUGAAACCGUGUGCUUACAAGUAGUCAGAGCCCGUUAAUGGGUGAUGGCGUGCCUUUUGUAGAAUGAACCGGCGAGUUACGAUUUGAUGCAAGGUUAAGCAGUAAAUGUGGAGCCGUAGCGAAAGCGAGUCUGAAUAGGGCGUUUAGUAUUUGGUCGUAGACCCGAAACCAGGUGAUCUACCCUUGGUCAGGUUGAAGUUCAGGUAACACUGAAUGGAGGACCGAACCGACUUACGUUGAAAAGUGAGCGGAUGAACUGAGGGUAGCGGAGAAAUUCCAAUCGAACCUGGAGAUAGCUGGUUCUCUCCGAAAUAGCUUUAGGGCUAGCCUCAAGUGAUGAUUAUUGGAGGUAGAGCACUGUUUGGACGAGGGGCCCCUCUCGGGUUACCGAAUUCAGACAAACUCCGAAUGCCAAUUAAUUUAACUUGGGAGUCAGAACAUGGGUGAUAAGGUCCGUGUUCGAAAGGGAAACAGCCCAGACCACCAGCUAAGGUCCCAAAAUAUAUGUUAAGUGGAAAAGGAUGUGGCGUUGCCCAGACAACUAGGAUGUUGGCUUAGAAGCAGCCAUCAUUUAAAGAGUGCGUAAUAGCUCACUAGUCGAGUGACACUGCGCCGAAAAUGUACCGGGGCUAAACAUAUUACCGAAGCUGUGGAUUGUCCUUUGGACAAUGGUAGGAGAGCGUUCUAAGGGCGUUGAAGCAUGAUCGUAAGGACAUGUGGAGCGCUUAGAAGUGAGAAUGCCGGUGUGAGUAGCGAAAGACGGGUGAGAAUCCCGUCCACCGAUUGACUAAGGUUUCCAGAGGAAGGCUCGUCCGCUCUGGGUUAGUCGGGUCCUAAGCUGAGGCCGACAGGCGUAGGCGAUGGAUAACAGGUUGAUAUUCCUGUACCACCUAUAAUCGUUUUAAUCGAUGGGGGGACGCAGUAGGAUAGGCGAAGCGUGCGAUUGGAUUGCACGUCUAAGCAGUAAGGCUGAGUAUUAGGCAAAUCCGGUACUCGUUAAGGCUGAGCUGUGAUGGGGAGAAGACAUUGUGUCUUCGAGUCGUUGAUUUCACACUGCCGAGAAAAGCCUCUAGAUAGAAAAUAGGUGCCCGUACCGCAAACCGACACAGGUAGUCAAGAUGAGAAUUCUAAGGUGAGCGAGCGAACUCUCGUUAAGGAACUCGGCAAAAUGACCCCGUAACUUCGGGAGAAGGGGUGCUCUUUAGGGUUAACGCCCAGAAGAGCCGCAGUGAAUAGGCCCAAGCGACUGUUUAUCAAAAACACAGGUCUCUGCUAAACCGUAAGGUGAUGUAUAGGGGCUGACGCCUGCCCGGUGCUGGAAGGUUAAGAGGAGUGGUUAGCUUCUGCGAAGCUACGAAUCGAAGCCCCAGUAAACGGCGGCCGUAACUAUAACGGUCCUAAGGUAGCGAAAUUCCUUGUCGGGUAAGUUCCGACCCGCACGAAAGGCGUAACGAUUUGGGCACUGUCUCAACGAGAGACUCGGUGAAAUCAUAGUACCUGUGAAGAUGCAGGUUACCCGCGACAGGACGGAAAGACCCCGUGGAGCUUUACUGUAGCCUGAUAUUGAAAUUCGGCACAGCUUGUACAGGAUAGGUAGGAGCCUUUGAAACGUGAGCGCUAGCUUACGUGGAGGCGCUGGUGGGAUACUACCCUAGCUGUGUUGGCUUUCUAACCCGCACCACUUAUCGUGGUGGGAGACAGUGUCAGGCGGGCAGUUUGACUGGGGCGGUCGCCUCCUAAAAGGUAACGGAGGCGCUCAAAGGUUCCCUCAGAAUGGUUGGAAAUCAUUCAUAGAGUGUAAAGGCAUAAGGGAGCUUGACUGCGAGACCUACAAGUCGAGCAGGGUCGAAAGACGGACUUAGUGAUCCGGUGGUUCCGCAUGGAAGGGCCAUCGCUCAACGGAUAAAAGCUACCCCGGGGAUAACAGGCUUAUCUCCCCCAAGAGUUCACAUCGACGGGGAGGUUUGGCACCUCGAUGUCGGCUCAUCGCAUCCUGGGGCUGUAGUCGGUCCCAAGGGUUGGGCUGUUCGCCCAUUAAAGCGGUACGCGAGCUGGGUUCAGAACGUCGUGAGACAGUUCGGUCCCUAUCCGUCGUGGGCGUAGGAAAUUUGAGAGGAGCUGUCCUUAGUACGAGAGGACCGGGAUGGACAUACCUCUGGUGUACCAGUUGUCGUGCCAACGGCAUAGCUGGGUAGCUAUGUGUGGACGGGAUAAGUGCUGAAAGCAUCUAAGCAUGAAGCCCCCCUCAAGAUGAGAUUUCCCA
This 2585-nucleotide ribosomal RNA is filed under the name Staphylococcus aureus. RNAcentral's name for it is "bacterial LSU rRNA". It matches the Rfam family "Bacterial large subunit ribosomal RNA", at positions 231 to 2816 of the family's 2925-position model. Lineage: Bacteria; Bacillati; Bacillota; Bacilli; Caryophanales; Staphylococcaceae. The record is from RNAcentral.